RNAcentral lists this ribosomal RNA (405 nucleotides) under uncultured bacterium. Its description in RNAcentral is "partial 16S ribosomal RNA". It matches the Rfam family "Bacterial small subunit ribosomal RNA", at positions 28 to 526 of the family's 1533-position model. The record is from RNAcentral.
GACGAACGCUGGCGGCGCGCUUAACACAUGCAAGUCGAGCGAAGCGGCGGACGGGUGAGUAACACGAGAGUAACCUGCCUUAGACAUUGGGAUAGCCUCGGGAAACCGGGAUUAAUACCAAAUGGUCAAAGAUGGAAUCGCGUCCCAUUAGCUAGUUGGUGGGUAACGGCCCACCAAGGCGACGAUGGGUAGCCGGCCUGGGAGGGGGAACGGCCUCAUGGUAUCUGAGAACUGUCCAAACUCUACGGGUGGCAGCAGUGGGGAAUAUUGCACAAUGGAGGGAACUCUGAUGCAGCUACGCCGCGUGAACGAAGAAGGCUUUCGAGUCGUAAAGUUCUUUUAUAUGGGAAGCGGUACCAUAAGAAAAAGCCCCGGCUAACUACGUGCCAGCAGCCGCGGUAAUAC